UACGUAGGGUGCGAGCGUUAAUCGGAAUUACUGGGCGUAAAGCGUGCGCAGGCGGUUGUGUAAGAAAGGUGUGAAAUGCCCGGGCUUAACCUGGGAACUGCACUUUUGACUGCACGGCUAGAGUGUGUCAGAGGGGGGUAGAAUUCCACGUGUAGCAGUGAAAUGCGUAGAUAUGUGGAGGAAUACCGAUGGCGAAGGCAGCCCCCUGGGAUAACACUGACGCUCAUGCACGAAAGCGUGGGGAGCAAACAGG
This 253-nucleotide ribosomal RNA is filed under the name uncultured bacterium. Its description in RNAcentral is "partial 16S ribosomal RNA". It matches the Rfam family "Bacterial small subunit ribosomal RNA", at positions 524 to 776 of the family's 1533-position model. The record is from RNAcentral.